AAACUAAUUUAGUUUGGCGGCAUUUUAUCUAUUUAGAGGAAUUUGUCCUUUAAUCGAUAAUCCACGUUAAAUUUUACUUUAAUUUAAAACUUAUAUACCGCCAUCUCAAGAAUUAUUUCAAAAACAUUCUCUUAAUAAAUAAUAAAAAGUUAGGUCAAGGUGUAAUCUAUAUUAAAGAAUAAGAUGAAUUACAUUAAACAUUAUUUAAAGAUUACUAAUAAAUAUAUAAGUAUAAAUAAGAAUUUAAAAGCAAUAUACAAAUAAUAAUUUCAUAUGAUAAAGAUAAUAAAUGUGCACACAUCGCCC
RNAcentral lists this ribosomal RNA (306 nucleotides) under Coelotes pickardi tirolensis. RNAcentral describes it as "partial 12S ribosomal RNA". The record is from RNAcentral. Lineage: Eukaryota; Metazoa; Arthropoda; Arachnida; Araneae; Agelenidae.